ACGUGGCAAUCCAAUGCAUUCCGAUGCAGCGCACGAUUUUGCAUUUAGACCGUGGUUACUCGCAUGCCCGCCAUCUUGGAGUUCACCGAGUUCACUUUUCUUUAACUCGUCGAUCUCGCUUUUAGAUUUUAGCAAACAGAUUUUGAAAAAUACCUAAAGAAUAAUUUAAUUUUUACAAUGUAGAAAAAGGAAAAAGAUUCGUGGUGGAAAGAUUAAUGAUCGCGAAUUGGAAAUGGAUGUUUUCGAAUUUAAUAAGAUUGAUUGAAGAAUCCGCCACCAGGCGAGAUCACGGCGCUUUCGUAUCCAAGUGCAGUCACAUAAGUGCAGUACUGAUGCCACAUAAGACGCAUCGCUAUGUGACGCAGAGCGCGUGGGUUGGAUAUCAUAAUGUACGGUCUAUAUCUGACAUAUCUCGAUUCUGCGGGCCUAACUGCGUCAUACUCAAAGUGCGCGCGCUUUUCGCGUACGUAUAUGUCGCCGUUUAUGAUGCGUUUGAAACGCGUCAACGCGUUGCCCGCGAACUUUCACUUUGUUCCUUUUAUUUUUCUUUUAUCGAAUCAUGCUAUAUAACAUUUUCAAAUCGUAUUUACAUAGAUUUAUGAAUUAAUUACAACUCGUUAAUCGGUUUUCAUCAAAGUUUCAAGGAAAUUAGAUAUUGGGAAGUAAUAUGUUUUUCAACAAAAUGACGACUUAUUUUAACAUUUCCUAGAGAAACAUUAAAUAUAAUAGACGAUAAAUCAGAACGAUUUGAAUUUAAUUUCUUCGUGUAGCGCAAUUUCUAUAACCAAUAAUUAGUUUUCUCGGUGAAAGAUGUUAAAUUACUAAAUCACCGUGUCGGUAAGAGGUUAAGUACGGCAAAGAAAGCUUCUAUAAGCGUUUACUUACUUGCAUUUGUGAGUCGAACGAUUCGCGAAUAUACGCUUGACUCUUACCGAUCUUUAUUGGUGAUAGAAAGUUGGCGAGAUCGUUUUAGGAGCGAACGGAACAAACAUAUUCGAAUGAGAAGGGAUAUGUAUGUAUAUAUACAUAUGUAUAUAUAUAUAUAUAUUUUUUUUUUUUCGAGGAAUCGCUAUUGCAAUAAAAAUAAAUAGGCACGCAAUAAUAAGUAUGUACUACAUACGUACAUAGAUAGAAUAGGUAUGGUUCGGUUUAGUCAUAGUAGUCGCAUACCGGUAAGAAAAUUGAGACAUCUCGCAAGGUCGCCGAGAACUCAUAGUUCGAGUUGUAAAUCGAAAAAAGAAUGGCUGCGAUCGUUGGAGCGAUCGGCGACCGCCCGCACCUGCGCGCGCGUACCAAUACGACACGCGGAUGUAGUCUCGCGCGCAUUAGCGCGCACCGACUACUGCAACCUUCAAGAUCGACGUGCCGUAUUUGCUCUCGACGCGCUUCGGCUAAUCUCGUGUUGCUCGAGGGCGCGCGCGCGCCACGACCUCCUUUAACGUUACGCGCCAAGCCGGACGCGCUUCUACAAUACUUCUGCGAUCUUUUUUGUUCUUCUUUUUUUUCCUCUUUCUUUGUCCUUUCUUCUUUUUUUUUUCUUCCCUUCGUUCUUCUUUUUUCCUUUCUUCUGUUUUUUCUUCCACCCCCUCACCACCAACCCUUUCCGAUUCUCCCCGAUCAUUCGUCGUAGUCGUAAUGACGAUAGUUAUCGGUACGUUUGUACUUGUAAAACUUAAACUUAAUGCGCAAUAUAAAUAGAAAGCUGAUCGUUACGUAAGAAACUCUACAUACGUAUAUAACGAGUUAGUGCUACGUGCUUGGUAUCAAUCUUCGAACAAGUGGAAAUGUUUCUCUUUUUAUCCCUCGGGAAUACAUUGCUAGUUGAUCGCAAUUAUUGAUAUUACAAUAUCGGUUUGGAUACGGAACGAUUACGGUAUCUAACUGUAUUAGAAGAAUGUUCAAAUCUUCCUUCGAGAGUGAUCCUACUCGAUUAGGAUGAUCAUUAUGGUAUUCCUACGUGGUAGAUACAUAAGUGAUCGAACGAGGUGUCACGUGGCAGCUCGGCAUCGACUAUACUCGGGCUGUUUCCUUCAUGAGGAUAUACUGACUACUCCACAUGAGGUCAUGGAAUUUAAUAACGGACGAGGUCGGAGAGCGAGCUUGAGCACGCGCGCGCAUGGUCGUGCGAGAGCUCGGUGACCAGAGAGAGAGAGAGAGAGAGAGAGAGAGAGAGAGAGAGAGAAAGAGAGAGAGGGAGAGAGAAAGAGAGAAAGAAAGAAAGAGAAACAGAGAAGGACGACGACAACGAAGACGACGAAGACGACGAAGACUAAGAAGAAGAAGAAGAAGAAGAGGAGGUUGCGCUCAUUCAUAGGAAUUUUACAGGUUGUCAGGCAGGUUUGACCGGCCUUUGUCAUGGAGGUAACGCGGAGGAGAGGAGCCACGGAGUGAGAGAUAUCUGUCCGGCCACAGGAGGACGAAUCACGGAUGAAUUUAGACACGGCAUACCUGGAGACCACCGUAGCACACAACAAAACGUGACCCGAGAGAGUUUCACUACUCUUUGAUUCUUUGAAGAGCAGGAAGCUGCUCUCCAAUAUAUACCUAUAUAUCUAAAGUAGAUUUAUUGGACAUCUAAUAUUAAUAUUUACAUAUUAAAAUAUGCAAAAUUAUGAAAAUGCCACUAGGAAGAAAGUGAACGCGGAUAUCCUAAAUCCUUAUUUACUUGGCGUUCAAAGCCAUACUUUAGAUCACUAUAUACGAUGGGGAAAAUAAUUGUACUGUUUACCCUACGUGUGCUAAUACACGUUGUAAGUACGGUAUAUACAAUACCAGCGAAAGAUAUCCCAUGCCGAGGCUCACGGAGGACUCGUGAACCGCCUCUUUUAUCCGGGGCGCAAUUGAGUCAACGGCCUUUCGAAAGAAGUAACGGUAUACGAUUAUUACUCCUACCGAGUCCUAUACUCACGAAACUCAACAUUCGCGUGCACGCGCGCGCACAGGAGAGAGAGAGAGAGAGAGAGAGAGAGAGAGAGAGAGAGAGAGAGAGAGAGAGCCUUCCAUAGCAUGCUUUUAUGGAUGCAGCGAGAGAGAGAGAGAGAGAGGGAGAGAGAGAGAGAGAGAGAGAGAGAGAGAGAGAGAGAGAGAGAGAAAGUCAGAUCCUCAGCGCAGAGGAUUUCGCGGUGGCUGGCAUUGCCGCGUACCGGUCGAUUUACGCGCUCGUUUGCAGGUAUGCCAAGCAUGUAAGGUCUCUAACGCUGAAACGCCGGUCGUCCGGACAAAACGAGUGGGAGGAAGGGCAGCCGCAGGUUGACGAGAGGCGAGAGAGGUGGGAGGAACCCGUGUAAGAGGGUGGAAAGAGGAAGGAAUUGGAUGGGAGUGAGAAGGUAGAAAGAAGGAGAGAACUCCUCACUCUACUCUCUUUCUCUUUCUUUUUCUCUUUCUCUUUCUUUCUCUCUUUCUCUCUUUCUCUCUCUCUCUCUCUCUCUCUCUCUCUUUCUCUCUUUCUCUCUUUCUCUCGAGGGAGUGCAUUGCUUGCGCACACCUACACAGAAAAGGCCAGCUACACACUGGACGGGGGAAGGCACAUGGUUACGUAGCAGCUCGUUGCCUGACUGUCCCGACUCAUGCCCUGCUGGCACGACACACUCUUUAAAACUCGACGUAGGAGAUACGCCGAGUGUGUUUGAGAGAGAAGAGACUAACCGGCAACGAGGACGGUGGGAAGGAAAGCAAAGAAAGAGAAAGACAGUAAGUUGAAAAGAAAGGAGACGAGGAAAGAAGAGGAAAGAAAAAGAAUGCAUUUGGAUUACUCGAUAGAAAGAGAGAAACGAGUAGGUGGGUAUGUUAAAAAAAGUUAGGGAGCGGGUGGGAGUCCCCGAGACUGACCGGACAAGACGAUGAGGACGACGAACGAAAGAACCAACAGCAACUCUGCUUAUAUUAUAGAACACACUAUCGAGAAGAUAUAACCACCAGCGCCACGCUACGGUGGGAAUUCGUUUCUCUGGGCUCGCGCUAGUUACAUGGGUUCAUAGUAUGCCCGGUAUUUACUAAAUAAAUCAUUAAAUACAAAGUAUAAUCGAAUAUAAAUUAAUAAAAUAUUUUUGUAUAAAACAUUAUGUGGUAAUUUGUAUUGGCCAUUAAUCAUCCUGCAUUUGUUUAUCACAUAUUUAUCUUUAUAAUGAAAUAAUAAUUAAAAUUGAGAUUACUUUA
Molecule: long non-coding RNA, 4155 nt
Organism: Vespa mandarinia (Asian giant hornet)
Lineage: Eukaryota; Metazoa; Arthropoda; Insecta; Hymenoptera; Vespidae
Source: RefSeq, a predicted model, not a curated record